UACGUAGGUGGCAAGCGUUGUCCGGAUUUAUUGGGUUUAAAGGGUGCGUAGGCGGCCCCGUAAGUCAGUGCUGAAAUAUCCCGGCUUAACCGGGAGGGUGGCAUUGAUACUGCGAGGCUUGAGUAAAGUUGAGGUAGGCGGAAUUGACGGUGUAGCGGUGAAAUGCUUAGAUAUCGUCAAGAACACCGAUAGUGUAGACAGCUUACUAGCUUAACUUGACGCUGAGGCACGAAAAGUGUGGGGAUCAAACAGG
RNAcentral lists this ribosomal RNA (253 nucleotides) under uncultured bacterium. RNAcentral describes it as "partial 16S ribosomal RNA". It matches the Rfam family "Bacterial small subunit ribosomal RNA", at positions 524 to 776 of the family's 1533-position model. The record is from RNAcentral.